UACGGAGGGGGCGAGCGUUGUCCGAAGUUACUGGGCGUAAAGAGUGUGUAGGCGGUGCUCUAAGUCUGUUGUGAAAUCUCCCGGCUCAACUGGGAGGGUGCGGCGGAAACUGGAGUGCUCGAGUGUGGGAGAGGUAAGCGGAAUUCCUGGUGUAGCGGUGAAAUGCGUAGAUAUCAGGAGGAACACCUGUGGUGUAGACAGCUUACUGGACCACGACUGACGCUGAGACACGAAAGCGUGGGUAGCAAACAGG
RNAcentral lists this ribosomal RNA (253 nucleotides) under uncultured bacterium. Its description in RNAcentral is "partial 16S ribosomal RNA". It matches the Rfam family "Bacterial small subunit ribosomal RNA", at positions 524 to 776 of the family's 1533-position model. The record is from RNAcentral.